CAGUUGCUGGUGGGACACAGAGCUUUGGCUCUGAACAGAAAACAAAGAAAGAGCUAAGCCCUCUCAGUGACAGUGACAGUGACGGUACUAUUAUCCUUGACCUCUCUCAUGCCAGCGUACCUGUGCUCACAAGAACAGAAGACAGUGUAAUUAGAGAAAUGCUUGAAUGUGUGGAAGACUCUCUAUCAAGCUCUGAUGUCACUGAGGAUGGGUAUUUUCCUGCUGGAGAGACAGAAAUUGACAGUUCAGCAGAAGAAGAGAGAAAAGUACAGCAAACACAUGUCCAACCACGCAAGAUGGCACCUUCUUGUUCCCUGGCUGCACACACUACAAAGGCAUCCUCGAGCUCUAAGAAAAGACGGCGGUCUGUUGAGUCAGAGAGUGAUGUCCCUCAAAGGAUCCUCAAAACAUAAGACAAGACUGAAACCUGUUGAGACUGGUGGUGACUCUAAAUGAGGAACAUCAAAGAAGAGAAGCUGGUCACCUGGUGAAAUCCGGGCUGUGG
Molecule: long non-coding RNA, 505 nt
Organism: Larimichthys crocea (large yellow croaker)
Lineage: Eukaryota; Metazoa; Chordata; Actinopteri; Sciaenidae
Exons: 6
Source: RefSeq, a predicted model, not a curated record